UUUUUUAUCUUAUUUUUUUUUGGCUCAGGAAGUUGGCCGGCUUUUCGUUUUUUUAUUGUGGAUUUUUUUUUCUUUUCUGUGAAGGGAAAGUGAUUGGCUGAGCUUAAUUUUUUGGUGUUUUGUUGAUGGAAAAAGAGAAUAAUUAUCGUGACCGGAAAGUACUACCUCGAUCGUUUGGUUGAAUUUUUUCCCUCGUGUCUUUCUCUCCUGAUCAUGAUAACUUACUUAGCCUCGAGUGAUGAAAAUUCGUCUUAGUAAAGGAAGGGAAAGUGAUUGACUAAGCUUAAUUUCCUCACCUUUAAAUAAUAAAGGUAUUUUGUGACGAAAAUUUAAUCUGUCCGUUUUUUCUUCACUCUUAAUAAAAAAAAUGUCCUUUAAUUUUAACUACCUAAAUUAAACCAACUCCGUGGUACAGCGGUUAGCGUGACUGGCCCAGGAUCGAAUCUCGGCGUGGGCAGUCAGCUUGCAUAUCACCCAGCUGUUCAUCCUCCCUUUCUGGCUGGUCGAUUAAUGGGUACCUGGGGAAACCUGGGGAAGGUAAACCGUGGUAACCCGGAUGUCACACUGGCCAUGCUCCCCGGGAAAAACUGAUUCAUACCCCCACAAGCUGAAAGGGCCAGUGUAACGGAGAUGAACACCACGGCCACGCGCAGCUAUAGCGUAUACCCCCAACCUUAAUUUUACCUCUGAAUUAAAGGACACUAGUACAAUGACCUCCUGACACAUCGACUGUGAAAAUAGGUCUUGAGCGGUGAAAAGAUGUUCGCUAUAUUUCAUUUUAACUGUCUAAAUGAUUAAAAGAAUACCCAUUUUCUUUCAUUAACCGUCUAAUUUAAAGGAAAACCACUGCAUUGACCUUCUCUUCCCACGUGCCACACCUUUAGUCGCUGCUUCUCCAUCCGUGAAAAUAGACUGUCUCCGAGGAUGCAACGGUUUCUUGGCGGCGGUAGGGAAAUCUUGUUAGCCGCGCCGAGACCGACACACAGAUGGCGCUGAGAGGCUUAGCGAGGCCGAGCUGCUGCAAGACGAGAAGUGGAGGCUUGUCGACAAUUAGUGGAGAUUUUGUACGGCUGUGUGGGGCUGACGGAGCGAGGUGAAGAGUGUCAGGAAGGUUAAAAAUGAAGAAGUUAGAGAAGAACGUUAGAAGGAGAACGUAAAGGAGAAAAACGUUAGGGAAGAGAAACGAAGAACGAGAAGAACAUUAAAAGAAGAUGAACGUUAAUGACAAGACCGUUAGAAAAAAGACAUGUAGAGGAACGUUAAAAAGAAGACGAAGAGGGAGAAGAACGUUGAGGAGGAGAGACGACGAGUGAGAAAAAGAAGAACGAAGAAGAAAAGGAGAGAAAUGAAGAACGUAAGAGACGAGAACGUUAAUGAGAAGAGACGGUGAAAAGAACGUUAGAGGGAAGACGAAGAGGAAAAAGAACGUUAAAUGAAGGAGAGAUGAAGAACGUAAAAGGCAAGAACGUUACAGAAGAUGAUGUAGAGUUAAAAUAACGUUAGAAAGGAGAGACAAAGAGGGAGAAGAACGUUAAGAAAGAUAGAUAGAUAGAUAGAUAGAGAGAGAGAUUUAAAUUUACCCCCCCACCAAAAAACAACAACAGAAAAUACGUGUAAUGGAAAAAAAAAAAAGAAAUACGCAUUCACACAAAAAAAGAAAAACAAAAAAAGAUGAAUCGAAAACUAAAGAAAAUUAUAAAUAAAUGAAAGAAAAGAAGUAAAUAAGUUAAAAAGAAAUAGAAUCACAUACCAAACACACUUAACACCCUUUCUCCCUGAUCGAAAAGAAGAAAAAAAAGAGAAAAACAAGAUCACACACAAAGACUGCCCCUCCCCCUCACCCCCGCCCCUCGAAAAAGUCGUUAGCAGCAAAGAAAAUGUCCAUAACGUCCGUAACAGCCUUUAACAGAUCGGGUUAACGCCCAAAGAGAGGUGUCAAGGCGUCUCCAUUCCCGCCUUCCGAACGAGUUAGCGCCGGAAGGAAGGUUAAAGACGGGAAAAAUUGUGUUAGACAGACCUCUCUGCUAAAAAAUGAAGGAGGGCUUGAUGGAGUGGAAGAAAGGAAGGAAGGAACGAGUAAGAAUGAUGAUAAAUACAGAAUAAGAGAAAGGUGAAGGAGUUAAUGCCUUAAUAAUAUAAAGAAAAGGAAAGAAAGAAAAGAAAGGAAGGAAAGAAAGGAAGGAAGAGACGAGUAAUAAUGAUGAUAAAUGCGUAAGAAAAGGAGGGUGAAGGAGUUAAUGCCUCAGUAAUAUAAAGAAAGGAAAGAAAGGAAGGAAGAAAGAAAGGGGAAGAAGGAAGAAGAAAGAAAGGAAAGUUAAAUGUAGUUGCUAGCGUUCUAAAAGGAAAAAAAAAGUGAAUAAGUGGAGGAGAGAUACAAAUUGAUGGACUAUUAGACUCAGGGUGAAAGAAAUGGAGGAGUAAUACCUUUCUAAAGAGUCAAAUUGUAAGAAAAUGGGAAAAAAAAAUUGAGAAAUGUGAUAGACAGAGAGAUUACUUUAAAAUGAAAACGGUGAAGGAGUGAAGGAGAGAAAGACACCAUUUGGAAGGAUGUCUGUUGUAUAUUGAAAGAGGGGAAGGGGCUAGGUGUCUUUAGGAAGAGUUCAUAUCGCGGAAAAAAAGGUAAAUAGCGGGGAAAUUAUACCAGAAAAACAGCUCUCCUCCACUAUGAAGGGACUAGAGAAGUUGAGGGAGGAAAGAACGAGUAAUGAGGAUGUUUCUGUUGUAUAAUAAAAGAAGAUUGAAAGAGUUAUUGCUACAAUGAUGGAAAGAAGAUAAAAAUUGUAUGAGGUUGGCAGACUUCUAAAAGGAAAAGAGUAAAGAAGUGAAAAGAAGAAAUAAAUGAGUAGAAAAGAUGUUUGUUGUAUAAUGAAAGAAAGGGGAAGAAAUGGGGGUAAAUUUUGAGAUAGUUAAACCUCAGUAGUACAAAGUAAAGGGAAAUUGAAUGUGGCUGGCAGAGUUCUAAGAGUUAAAAAGAAAAAGAGUGAAAGAGUAAACGGAAAAAAAGAAACUAGCAAGAACGAUGUUUGUUGUAUAAAAAAAGAAGGUAGUGAGGAAAUGGAGAUAAUUGUGGAAAGAGUUAAUCCCUUAUUAA
Molecule: long non-coding RNA, 3091 nt
Organism: Eriocheir sinensis (Chinese mitten crab)
Lineage: Eukaryota; Metazoa; Arthropoda; Malacostraca; Decapoda; Varunidae
Exons: 2
Source: RefSeq, a predicted model, not a curated record